This 391-nucleotide ribosomal RNA is filed under the name Pseudocalanus sp. RNAcentral's name for it is "partial small subunit ribosomal RNA". It matches the Rfam family "Eukaryotic small subunit ribosomal RNA", at positions 582 to 975 of the family's 1831-position model. Lineage: Eukaryota; Metazoa; Arthropoda; Copepoda; Calanoida; Clausocalanidae. The record is from RNAcentral.
AUUCCAGCUCCAAUAGCGUAUAUUAAAGUUGUUGUGGUUAAAAAGCUCGUAGUUGGAUCUCGGAGGUCUGAGGGCGGUUCGCUUCAGAGCGCUACUGCCCUAUAGACCGUAGUUUUGCCAGAGGUCUCAGGGUGCUCUUAACCGAGUGUCUUGCGAUGCUGGCAGGUUUACUUUGACAAAAUUUUAGUGCUCAAAGCAGGCUUUUACGCCUGAAUAUUCGUGCAUGGAAUAAUAAAAUAGGAAGUCGUAUCUAUUUUGUUGGUUUUCGGAAAUCGACUAAAUGAUUAAUAGGGACAGUCGGGGGCAUUUGUAUUCAAACGACAGAGGUGAAAUUCUUGGACCGUUUGAAGACAAAUUACUGCGAAAGCAUUUGCCAAGAAUGUUUUCAUCA